GACGAACGCUGGCGGCGUGCUUAACACAUGCAAGUCGAACGUGAUUUUUAAGGAAAGCCCUUCGGGGUAGGAAUUAAAAUGAAAGUGGCGAACGGGUGGGUAACACGUGAGCAACCUACCUUACACAGGGGGAUAGCCGUUGGAAACGACGAUUAAUACCGCAUGAGACCACAGAAUCGCAUGAUAUAGGGGUCAAAGAUUUAUCGGUGUAAGAAGGGCUCGCGUCUGAUUAGCUAGUUGGAAGGGUAAAGGCCUACCAAGGCGACGAUCAGUAGCCGGUCUGAGAGGAUGAACGGCCACAUUGGAACUGAGACACGGUCCAAACUCCUACGGGAGGCAGCAGUGGGGAAUAUUGCACAAUGGGGGGAACCCUGAUGCAGCGACGCCGCGUGAGCGAAGAAGGUUUUCGAAUCGUAAAGCUCUGUCCUAUGAGAAGAUAA
This 440-nucleotide ribosomal RNA is filed under the name uncultured bacterium. Its description in RNAcentral is "bacterial SSU rRNA". It matches the Rfam family "Bacterial small subunit ribosomal RNA", at positions 28 to 451 of the family's 1533-position model. The record is from RNAcentral.